GCCGGCCACUCCUCCCGCGGGAUCGCCUUCCAGUGGCCCGUGGCUGCCGGUGCUGAGCUCUGCCGCUGCAGGGCCGGCCGCUUGGGUCUUGCCUGGGGCUCCGGGCAGGAGGCCUGC
Molecule: non-coding RNA, 117 nt
Filed under: Drosophila pseudoobscura
Lineage: Eukaryota; Metazoa; Arthropoda; Insecta; Diptera; Drosophilidae
Also listed under: 1 other name
Source: miRBase by way of RNAcentral